Molecule: RNA transcript, 705 nt
Organism: Manihot esculenta (cassava)
Lineage: Eukaryota; Viridiplantae; Streptophyta; Magnoliopsida; Malpighiales; Euphorbiaceae
Exons: 2
Source: RefSeq, a predicted model, not a curated record
AACACCAACACCAUCAACAUCUCCACCAUCCCCAACCCCUUGUGGUUCUUGAGGACAUCUCGUCUAAUAGAAACAACGGAAAUGCGAGCCCUGAAAGACCAUGGCAGUCCAAAUCAGAGUGAUCGAAAGAGGUUGCGAUGACCAUAUUAGUCUAAAACAUUCAAAGUAGAUAUCAGUUUUGUUGCUAAAAUACCCAUGCAAGCUAUUGCAAAUGCAUUUCGGGUAUAGGAGUUAAAGAACUCUCAAGAAGCGAUUAGGGUACUGGAUAUUGUAUUGCAUCAGCAUGCAGCUAAACAGGGCUGCCUCCUUGUUCGCCAAAACUUUUGUCAUAAUGAUCCAAGGAAUUUCGCAGAUGUUGGGAGUGGUGUUCUGGGCUGUAGAGGGUUUCAUUCAAGUUUUAGAACCACUCAGGGCAGUUUGUCUCUGAAUAUUAGUAGCGAUGUUCAACUACUGUGCUAUGAUGUUGCUUUUCCAUUGUUUUUGUUAGACGCUGCAUCAAUCAACUUCAACAAUGCAAAAAAAUCAUGAAAUGAACGCAAGGCAAAAGGUUGGCUUCUUAUUUGUUGGCAUUGUAGCGAUUUUGCAAACUGGUGUUGUUGGGUUCUUAGUUUUCAAGAGAAGGCAGCUUUUGAGGAUCAAAGAAAGAUAUGAAACUUGCUCUUCUGAUCCUCUAGAGGAGCUUUGAAUAAAAUUGAAGAUUCUUUA